UAGAUUAUGAUUUGCGUCGCGGCCACGCUACUGCGAUUAGUUCCUUCCAUAGUUUGCUGGGAUUUUUGGGUCCUUCCAGCUCGAGUUUUUAGUCGCGAUGCUGAUGACGUGUCCGGUGAUUCAGAGGUACAGUAAUAAAUAAUUUGGCAAAACUCAGGGAUGCUAGGCGCUAUGCACUUGUACCGUUUUGCAAGCUUGUAAUGCUGAUUAAUUAUGUAUGAUGGCAUCUCCAAUUAGCCUUUUGAGUGCUAUAUCUCAAAGUUUCUUUUUUGGUCAAGAGGUAUUAUUAUUUCUGGACUUUGAUUGUUCGGUUACCGGAGCUCGGCAUGGGCAGCUGUGUGUGUUUUCCCAUGAGCAAUGCCCGGAGAUUAUGGAAUGUGUCGGGGCCUCUAAAAUGUACUUCAAAGUUUUUCUCGGCUCACAAAUUUUUUUCCGCGGCUCUGGGUCAAUGGCAAAACCAGCGGGUUUCUGAUAGCAACUGCUGUGCCCUCAGUGUUUUAAGCACCUACCGACUCUUGCGAUUGCAUCUUCUACUCUGCUGGGUGCUGCAAGUUCUUACGUACCAGCCAUUCUGGCUCUCACAGCUGCAGCAGGUGAUACGAGUACUAUACAAAUAAUUUGAAUCCAAAAUCAACUUCAAUUGCAAAUCUUUUCCUAGUGUAGUCCGGAGAUCUAGCAGAUGCUAACCUGAUAGAAAUGAGUAGUUCAGACCACAGACUGCAGUUAAAUGGGCAAAUUUGUCCUUGCCAAAGGAAAUCUGAAGAGUUUACAUCGGCUCUUAACGCUGCUGAAUAUUCCCGCAAAAAAAAAAAAAACGCUGCUGAAUAUAGGGCGGAAUAGGACGGUUGGCUGUUCUAGGAGCCCCAAGGAUAGGAAAAGGUUUGACGGUUGCUCAGCACGCCAGUGAGAGCAACCGUGGACUGACAGAAAAACAUCUGACAUGAGAAGUUCUUCCAUAAGGAACAUCGUUACUUUGCCCGAAUGAGCUCUUCAUUCAACAUUUCCAAGUUUUUAAGAAAAGUGAAUAUCACCCGGCAGACGCUUGAAACGAGGAGCUACCACGACAACUACUUCACAUAUUAACGAUGUUACUACAUGGGGACCCAUAUUCUUGCUCAACCACAUGCAAGCCGCAAUGGCAGAUCCAAGAGCUGAAAAAAGAAAUAAAUCUGUUCUAGCUAAGCUACUGAGCCAACCAACAGGAUCCGUGAUAAGUUUCAGUAGUAACAUCAGGGAGGACAUACAAGAAGUGAUGAGUUCACCAAGAGCUACAUUGUUUCAGCGUUAUCAAGCACCAUUCCCGAGCAGAGGAGUUUUGAUCAGUGAUUCUUCAGUUCAGAUCAGCGGGCUUGGAAAGCACGAAUACCAUCAGCAGCAAGUUCUGGCUUAGAGACGAGAGCUGUAGAGUCCUGCAAAAUGGCAAGGCAUGUGUUAGGCUGCAGCAUUAGGCUUACAGUUUUGGUUAAUCCUUCUGGAGUCACUAGUUUCAGAAAUCUGGUAGCAAUCUGAUAGGAAAUAUAUCCCGUGAUUUAAAUAGCAGCAGAUAAAUAACAUGCUGGCAACAGAGUGGCAAAAGCUAUAUCAUUUCUAUAACAACCUCAACCUCGAGCAUUUUGUGAGCGCACUAUCCGUUGAUCACAUAAGUGCAGACCCAUCAUGCAAUUUACAAUUACGUAUGCAUCAUGUGUUUGAGUGAUGAAAAAUUCAGAGCAUGUCAUUUCAGCAUUUAACAAAGCUACAGGCCACAUUGCCUUCAGGUCAGAAACAAAGAAUGAACAGAUAAUUUUCUGUCAGAUAGGUAGCAAAAAAUGAAUCCUGGGGGAUCCCAAAAGCUAGUAGCUGGAGUAAAUGCGGCGAUUGGCUAAAUGUACAAAGGUAUAAUGCGAGGUAGGUACCUUUGGCAGUAAAGCCAUCUCCCCAUUCUCGAAGGAUGAUAAAACAGCACCAUGACUUUUAAGCCAAUCAACACUUCCGUCUACUGCAGCAAAACCUAAGAUUUUGGAUACGUAUUUAACAGGUAUCUUGGUUGCGUAGGCCUUUGCCAUACAUUUUAAACCUUCAAAUCUCAUCUUCUCAAAGCAGAGACCUAGAAAAUCGUAAGCAUGUUCACCAUUAACUACAAUUAGCAUAAAUGGUAACCAACGGUUGUUAUCAACAUAGUCUAAUAACCACAUAUCUGAUGACCAUUUGCAUAAGAAAGUCUAGGAAAGAUUUAACUUACACAUCAGGUAGCCAUUGAGGUUUGGAGCCACCUUGUAGAGUUUGAAAAAUGAUGCAUAGUUCCCUGUCUGUAUACUGUGAGCCACUUCUUUGGCAUGCUUCACAGUUUCUUGCUGUUUCAGGUCGCUUGACAGCCUAGGAAACAAAAUGAACAGUGUGGUCUUUAAUUAGUGGCAAAACAUUGGAGCAGUUAUUCAGAUUCGAUACCUUACUUGCAUAAUGCACGAGGGCUUUUGUGCAAAAGAUUAUUUAAGUUGCCAUAAGGUGCAGUGGCAGGUGACAUAUAAUGGCUGUCUGGUUGAGUUACAGGAGCCGGUCUUAUUUCUAGACAAUAAUACACCAGUAUGUUAUCUGAUUUUGAUGAAUGUUAAAAGAUCAGUUCACAACCACGGUUAACAGCAUUUAUUUGAGCAGGUUGUGUCUGUUUUGAAAACUCAACUAUGACACUAAUAGAACAAGGGUAUACAACAUAUCUAUUUAACUGUGCCAGUGAACCUAUCGAUGAUAUUUUUAACCGUACUAACCCUACUCUGUUUGCUUUUUAUGUCACAAUAAAAGGAAAAAUAUAUACCUUCCAAGUUUAGACAUCAGUUCAGUAUUUUUGUCUUGAAUCGCAGACAACAAUAUAUCAUAAGCUGCAAAUUCACCAUGAUGGCCACCAUUCCGCUUAUUCCCAUAGAGGCAGUGCAGCUUCGUGAGGCACUGAAAAUCCAAGAAGCGCGCAAGAGCAAUACCAUGAGAUAAGUGUGUGCAAAUAAUCACAUUACGUACAAAAAAAGGGGAGCUGUAGCAGGGCUAGAGAACAAUUUCACAUAAAGAACAUGUUUUCCCGAAUUCUAAUUCUGAUAAGCUUGAAGUUGCUGAUUAUAUAUGCAAAAAAGGUACCAAUUCUAACUCAUGUACAGCCACAAAUAGCUAAUGAUGCAUAGAAGACAAACAUAACAGAUUUGCCAUAUAUCUCAAACCAAGUAUUCUUUAAUAUAUCUCAAACCAAGCAUUCUUUAAUGUAUCUCAAGGAGUACUAACCAAGUUAAGUUCAGCCAUAUCUCGAUUGCACAACGCAAGUCUUGCAUGAUACUCAUAAACCUGAAAAGGUAGAAAAUGGUUGUAGAAGAGAAAAGAAUAUGUUAGAACAACAAUGUAGUCUGGUGCCACAAGUGAAAUAGGGAAAAUAUAAUUUGUGGGAAUAACCUGCACAGAAAGUUCAUCCUCUAUGUUCUGGAUAGUCAUAUCUUGACGAAUUGAUUUCAGUUGAUCUGUUCUAAAAUUGUAGUCUUUACUUGAGACCUGGACAAACUUCAGGGCUUCUACAAGUACAAGCUUUGGUCUUAUCUGAAAGACAGGAAAAGAGGUCAAUUGCUGUUUAGAAGUAGCAAAAGGAAAAUAAAAGUAUAUCAAAGGAAGAAAAGGAAUUCAGAGAAACAUGAGUAGUGGUUACUGCAUAACUACAGUAUUUGGCUCUGACAUUCAGAAAUUUGAACUUCACAAAUAAUAGUACUAAAUAAGAUAGGAAAUCCAUAGUAGUGGUUACUGUAUAACUACAGUAAUUUGACAUACUACAGCAGAAAUCAAUGGCUCAUAGCCAGAUUUGCACAAGAAUCAGUCAAUGAACAGUUCAUAUACAUAUACAGUCAAAAAACAGAUGUCAUACAUAGAUGAUCGAAGCUACAAAAUCUUUCCUACAUCUAAUAUAGCAGACAGACAUUAGUCAAGUUUGGGCUGUAGCAGAAAUUUUCUAUGCAGGAGAUAUACCAACGAUGCAAUUUGCAAGCAGCUAUUCAAUGGCUAAUGACUGAUGCUGAGCUACAACAUGGGAUCAAUAACACGGUCCGAUAAAAGAUGGACGGCAAGUGGGAUCUGGGAACUAUGAUUUCAAGGCAUCUUCUUUCAAAACACUCACACCAAUAGCAAUUCAACUGAAAGUUCACUGAAAGUCUUACCUUUGUUGCAUCUGGAGGCCCGGUGAGACGGAAGUAGCCUUUCUGUACAUCUGUGCACAUCCCUACAAUCAGACCAGAGGUGAUAGUCCCAUCUCCUUCAUCCACCGUAGCUUCUGGCUUGAUCUUUCCUUCACAAUUUGCAGCUUCCGGUCUGACCGCCCCAUUUGAAUCAUCAUGCUUAGAUUCCGAAGGACGCUGCGGCUCCUCGACUCCUGUCGACUUGAUAGCACCUGCCACUUGCUUCUCCGACAGCACUCCGCGCACAGGGCGGGGCAACCUCUUCCGGGGGAAUGCCUUGCGUCGGCUGCCGCCCGACGCUUCAGGCCCAGUACGCAGCGCAGGGAGUACCGAGCUCUGGUGUCCGCUGCCGCCCGACGCUUCAGGCUCGGUGCGCAGCGCAGGGAGUACCGAGCUCUGGCGAGGCGAUCGCUGGCGUCCGCUGCCGCCUGGCGGCCCAGUUUGCUGGAGCCCGCCCCUCCCGCGAAAGAACCGCCGUGGUGGGAAGCCCCCUCUGCCGCCCCCGAGAUUGUGUGGAGGCGGCGGGCCCAAAGGGUAGGGCUCCCCACGGUCUCCUGUCUCCAGGAACGAGCCCCCACGGUCUCCACGUGGCGAGCUCUGCUGCCCCAGUCUCUCCAUGGAGCGCUGCGUCCAGGGGUCAUGGCCGUCAGACCCCGGGAACAGAGCUCCCCGCCGGCGAUCCUGAGGAGACGGUGUCCAUCGCCUCUCGCCCUCCAAGAUUAUGGCAGGGGAGCGCUCGGGGAACAUGGCUCCAUGGGAGAAUCUUGGACGGGGUGUCGCCUCGAAGCCGUCGCCGCGGCCGCGCUCCACCGGGAAGGGGCCGGAGCGAUAGAACGUGUCAUCGCGGGACUGCACGUGACCGCGUCCCUCGUGGCGCCCUGGCGGCGACGAGCCACGCCGCCUGCGAUCAUCCAAAGCUGGUGUCCAAUCCCUUGGUCUUGAACUGGAGCACUGGUGCUCGUCCGCAAAGAAAGGCGAAUGCCCGCGAGGCAAAUCCCAGUCCAUUGGCGACCGCGGCAGGGAGCGGUUCGGUCGCCUGAAGUCAUCACCACGGCCGCGCUCGAAACGACUCUGCCCCGGGAAAGAAUCAGCGAGCUCCAAGAAUCUCGUAGGCGUACCGUAGUUGCCCUCGCGGCUGUACUCCGGCCAGUCAUGGUCCAAGAAUCCAUUGCCGAAGCUGUCAGCCUCCCUCUGGGGUCCCGAAGGCGGGGACACGCGCCAUGGCUCGAAUCUUGGCCGAGGGCCGUAGGGCUCCUCGCGGCUGUAAUCGAUGUAGCGCCGGAGACGAAGGGGACUAGGGGAGGCGAGGGUGGCCGCUCCAAGAAGGCCGCAGGAGGAGAAGGCGCGCCUGUCCAGGAGGGCGCGAAGUCCCGAGGGGGUGAGCGCCAGAGAUGGCGGUUUCUGUAGUUGGCCGGCGAUGCCUGGCGUUCCCUCUUGCGUGGUGGUGAUCGGCCUAAGCGCCGACGAGGAUCCAUUUGCUUGUGGUGGCUGGCGGGUUCUUGGGAAAGUGUGGAAGAGGACUUGAGAUUGGCUGAUCAGAAAAUUAGCCGUGAAGCGCCCUCGUAGGAACUCGGGCUUCUCGAGCCGUUAAGAUUUGCGGCUGCGUCUUUUUUUUUUUCCUUCUUCUUCUUCUGAAGUACCACUAUGUACCUAAAACCCUGCUUAGUAUGUUGGAUAUCCAAGCAUGAAAUUGCAAUACAAAAGGCUGACCUUGCAUACAUUCUGGAACGAGAUUGCGAACGGCUUGCCGAGAAGCCUUGAUUCGCCUUGAUGACAGCCGGUAUGAACUCUGAAGCCUGGUUUCCAAGUAGGAAGCGUAGCUCGUCAGAGACUGUCAUACGCCUACCUGACGGAGAUAUCCGCGGCAUAUGCAUGCUCUGACUGAAAACUUCGCCGAUGUUCCGCCCUGAAAUUGCCAGGAGCAGCCAAACUUUGAGAAGAAGAAUACAGAGUCAUGGCGGUUUAUAUUAAUUACAGAAGGCAUGAGGCCUGACGGCCAUGGAAAAGGAUGAGUUGUAGCUGUUGGAUAAUUAAUUAAUGUUGUCUGCAUAAGAUGAUCUUGCCGAUUUCAUGCCGGCGACAUAAACCCUACAGUCGAACAGCGGGUAUUUUUAUAGUUGGACUAUAUUCCCGCCAACUCUUCCGACACAAGGUCAGCACAAAGCCGUUCACUGAAAUGAACUCUGACUAGAGCCAGCUCCCAAAUUGGGAAUGUGGGAUCAGAAGAGAGUAGAGGUGGCUAUAGCCUAGAGAUCCCUAACCAAAGGUAAUGACCUCAAGGCGACGAUCCUCCGCAACUAUGCCUUGCAGAUUCUGUCAAACCGGUAGUUAUGUAGAUGAUGCGUUAUUUGAAAUGUAGUAAGGUCCAAAUUAUUCUAUGGUCUAGGAAAAUACACACCAUAUCCAGCAAAGUUAAGGAGACCGGCCUGCGAAAUUUUAUGGCAACUUCUAUUCUUGUUACUCUUACUCUACACAAACAAGUUAAGUAGUUGUAAUGCACGUGAUAUAUCGCGUGUAUUCACACCAGCUCAACUGACUACUCUAGCUUACAGAACCUAUAGGAAUCGCGAUACAUCAACUAGCAACGACAUGGCAACAAAAUCAACUGACUUAAGUUCAUAGAACUUGAGCCAUUAGUGCCGUUGGACAAGGCUGCAAGUCUACAAGAAGCAAAAGUUAGCAAGACAGUAAUCAGCCCGGGAGCAAGUUCUGUUCAGUAGUUCACUACAACAUUGCAACUGAAGCAACUAUGAACUACCAAAGCGAGCCAGCAACAGCAUGCUAAUUAAACAAGAUUAAAUUACAUGGGCAGGCAGGCUGGUGGUGGUGGUGGUACUAGCACCGGCAGUGUGUACAGACUAGUGGAAGGUCGGAUCCUAGACAUUGUCGCGAGGGAUGCGCCUCUGCCCUCUGGGAGAUUCUGUCGAGCGCGUGGCGUGCCCGGGCUUGCGCAAGUCGCUUGCUCUGAGUCCCGCCUGUUCGCCUUGUCCCGAGCGGCGGAGCCGCCGCGGCCGCGGCCGCCUGCUUCGGCCGCGAGUCUAUGGCUUUGGGAUGCCACCAUUAGUUUUUUUUAAGGGAAGAUGCCACCUUUUUUUGAGAUUAUAAGGGACUUUUACUCGAUCGUAAACUAAUACUCCCUGCGUCCCAAAAUAACUUUCUUAAGUUUAGUAUACAAUUUUGUACUAAACCUAAUACAAAGUUAAGACACUUAUUUUGAAACAAAUGAGUAUAAGAUUGUUUAAGGGUUGUUUGGAUAAGGAGAAUAUACAAAACACGAUCUCUAUAAAUAGGAAACGGUUCUAACAAUCAUGUCUUUUACGAUACCCAAAUUCUUUAAAGUGCACGCGCACUAUUUUGGCAAAACGAGCAGCCUGGCUCACAACACAUGCAUGCACUUAAUUUCUUUUGUCUGCUAGUGCAUGUGACCGUGGCAUUAAAUGCGUCACAGUGCUCCUUUAGUAUGGAACAGAUAGAUUCAUGUACAUUCAUUUUGGGUUCUUAAAAAUUCAAAAAAGCAUAUCUUUUCAACCACGUGUUUUGAAUUCAAAUUUGUUUUCACUGUUGAAAUCUUCACGACGAGAUCUUUCAAACUAGAUCCCGCAUGAGUAUUUUUUGACGAAAUUUUUUCGAUGCCAACUUUAGGGGCUAUAUUGUGCAACAUUUAGUAUUGAUGAUGCAACUUUUUUCAAAAUCAAUUUUAGAGCUGUACGAUCCAACCACUGAUGAGGCUAUAACAUAGCAACUAACAACCGACUUUUGUGAUGCGCAACUAGUCUACUGUCCCAGUCAACUAUCUAGUAGUAGAUGUGCAACCCUCUCCUACCUACUUAUGGAUGCCUACUGUUGGCACAUCCUGCCCCACCUUCCCUACCAGCGAUAUGUGCAACUUAGUAUGUUGUUCAAGCCAACUAUCUAUUAGUCAAUGUGCAACUCUUUCCCCUCCCUACUUGUGGAUAUGCAAUUUUGGUUGGUGGGGGCAACAAACGGAGUUGCAUAUAGUCUUCUAGGCAGUUGGCCAGGUAAACAUACGAAGUUGCACAUCUCACAGGCAAGGAAUAGUUGGAUGGUGAAAAUUCCACAUUCACGAGGAUAGUGAAAAGUUGCAUAUAGACAAGGCGCUAAAGUUGCAAAUCUUACUAGCAAGGGUGGUUCGAACCGGUUGCUAGAAGGGAAAAUUACACAUACAUGGGGUACGAUGAAAAGUUGCACAUCACUGCUAGAUAGUUGGCCGUUGCAGUAUCCAAAGUUGUACAUCCAGUACUAGAAAGUUGGCAAAUGCAACAAACAGUGAAAGCACAUCCAUGGAAAAGGAAAAAGUUGCACAUCAAUUACUAGGGAGUUGGCCUGAGCAAUAGACGAAGUUGCACAUCUCACUAGAAGGGGUAGUUCGAGAGGGUGGAGGUGACAUCAGUGAAAAUUGCACGUCCACGUGCAGUUUUUACUGAUGGCGCCUCCACCCCCAAAAGUACCCACUUGGAGUGAGAUGUGCAACUUUGUCUCUUGCCGAGGCCAACUGUCUAGUAGUUGACAUGCAACUUUUCUCCUACACGUGGAUGUGCUUUCACUAUUUACUGCAUCGGCCAACUGCCUAGCAGUAGAUGUGCAACCUCAUAUGCUGCGAUGGCCAAAUAUCUAACAAUGAUGUGCAACUUUCUCUUGUAUCACUCAUGGAUGUGCAACUUCGUGGGUUGCCCCGGCCAACUGCAUAGCAGACUAUGUGCAACUCCGUCUGUUGCCCCCGCCAACUAAAACUAAUACGUAUCCACAAGUAGGGAGGGGAAGGAGUUGCACAUCGACUAAUAGGCAGUUGGCGUGAACAACAGACUAAGUUGCACAUACCACUGGUAGGGGAAGUGGGGAAGGGUUGCACAUCGACUAUUAGGUAGUUGGCCGAGGUAGUAGACUAGUUGCACGUCAUAAAAAGUUGGUUGUCAUGGUUUCUUUGUUGCAAUACCAUAAAAAUUGGACCAUGCAGCUGCAAACUUGGUUUUCAAAAAAGUUGCACAAUCCGGUACUAAAGUUGCACCAUGUAGUAAUAGAGUUGCACAAUAUAGCAUCAAAGUUGGCAUCAAAAAAAUUUCGUCAAAACAUACCCAUGCGGGAUCUAGUUUCAAAGAUCUCGUCGCGAGAAUUCCAAUAGUGAAAAUGGAUCUAAAUUCCAAAGCACAGUUUAAAAGAUAUGACUUUUUAAAAAUUUGGAAACCCGAAUAAAUGGACAUACACAUCCAUGGAAUAAUGCGGUGUCUUGUCCAUGUGACCAUCCUAAUAGUAUAUGCCACAUCACGAAUAAAGAUAAAAUUUAGACCAUAAAACUAUUUCCUCUAAUUGGUGUGUACACACUUUUUAGAAUUUAGGUAAAAAAAGAUGCAGCCGAUGCAUGUGGACCAUUUAAUAUGCAUUUCAGUUGGAUAUUUUCUGUUUAACUAGUUGGGACCAGAGGAAUCUUUCCUAAUCAGGACAAGGGGACAAACACUUUCUAUUGAUAAUCGGCUGUUGUGAAGCGCUAGGGAGCCAACGGAUGCUGGCUAGACUCGUCCUUUACAAUAAUGUUAUUUUCAAUACGAAAUAUGUAAAUGGCGAACGAACUAGUUUUCGUUUCAGAUACGAACACGUUCGUUGUCGUCGAUAUUUAGAUCAUGCGAUUGCGUGCGCUCCUCAUUUGUUUCUCUCCCACGGAUUUCAUGCUCGCUCCCGAUGAUUUCGCUUGCUAUCAUAUUUCUUUUUGAUGAAAUGUACCGAGUGCUAUGUUUCAUUUAUUAAGAGAGGAACUAGCAGAGUCGGGAAAUUACAAGGGGAUAUUGGGAAGAGAAGGAACACACACUGAGAACAAUAUAAGAGUUAAAUGUUGGGAAACAUUGCAUGGAAAAUAAAAAAAAAUUCUACGCACACACAAUGAUCUAUCUAUUAAGAUGCAUAGCAACGAGGGGAAGAGUGUGUUUACAUACCCUCAUAGACCGUAAGCUAAAGUAUUUCUCAACGCAGUUGAUGUAGUCGAACUUCUUCGUGCUUCAACUGGUCAAGUACCGAAUGCACGACACCUUCGUGUUCUGCACACGUUCAGCUCAGUGACGUUCCUCACCUUUUUGAUCCAGCAAGUUUUCGAAGUAGUAGAUGAGUUCCGUCAGCACGAUGGCGUGGUGACGGUGAUGAUGAAGUGACCCUCACAGGGCUUCACCUAAGUACUACGAAGAUAUAACCGUGGGAAUAAACGAUGAAGGGGGGCGCCGCACACCGCUAACAAUUGUCUAUUGUGUGCUAGGCGCCCCCCUUCCCACACACACACACACACANNNNNNNNNNNNNNNNNNNNNNNNNNNNNNNNNNNNNNNNNNNNNNNNNNNNNNNNNNNNNNNNNNNNNNNNNNNNNNNNNNNNNNNNNNNNNNNNNNNNNNNNNNNNNNNNNNNNNNNNNNNNNNNNNNNNNNNNNNNNNNNNNNNNNNNNNNNNNNNNNNNNNNNNNNNNNNNNNNNNNNNNNNNNNNNNNNNNNNAGGUGGGAGUGAGGGAAGAGCAGCCAAAGGAGGCGCCCAAGUAGGAGGAAUCCUACUUGGGGUCCCUCCCAAGCCACAACCCACUCUUUCCUUAUUUGAAGUGCGGGGAAUGUGGUGCCCCCCUUUUUCUUUCUCCCAUGAGAGGGAAAGGCAGGACGAGCUAGCCCUCCCCCUUUUCCUUCCCUAGGGGUGGCUAAACAAGGGAGAGGGUGCACCAACCUCUUUGUGGGCUGGGCUAUCCCCUCAUUUGGCCUAUAAGGCCCAUAUCUUGCCGGGGGGGGGGGGUGGUGGUGGCCGGAACCCCUUCCGGUGACCCGAUUCCUUCCCGAUACAUCCCGAAACACUUCUAGUGUCUAAAUACCAUCGUUCUAUAUAUCAAUAUUUACCUCUCGACCAUUUCGAGACUCCUCGUCAUGUUUGUGUUCUCAUCCGAGACUCCGAACAACAUUCGGUCACCAAAACAUAUAACUCAUAUAACACUAUAUCGUCAACGAACAUUAAGCGUGCGGACCCUACGGGCUCGAGAACUAUGUAGACAUGACCGAGACACCUCUCCGGUCAAUAACCAAUAGCGGAACCUGGAUGCCCAUAUUGGCUCCUACAUAUUCUACGAAGUGUUGGGGAACAUAGUCUAUACCUACUAUUAAAAGGAGGUGAUAUUCUUGGUUUCUUCCCGCUUCGUUUGGUCCUGCUUCAAUGAAUUUCACGUAAGCUAUUUGGUUUCAUUACUUGCCAUACAUUUUGGCCCAACAGAGGAAGCCCAUCUGGCGGCGCACUGUGGGCCAGCUCGGAGAAAAAUAAAAUUGUCGAGUCAUAACCUGCCAACCGGUCACGCAUAGUUUGUCCAACUGACCCAGCUAAAGAUAUGACUGGAUUUAUUUUUCUCCCGUUGCAACGCACGAGUCUUUUUGCUAGUAAUUUCAAAAAAAAUCCUACGCACACACAGGAUCAUGGUGGUGCAUAGCAACGAGAGGGGAGAGUGUGUCUACGUACCCUCGUAGACCGUAUGCGGAAGCGUUGGCACAACGCGGUUGAUGUAGUCGUACGUCUUCACGAUCCGACUGCUCUAAGUACCGAACGUACGAUGCCUCUGAGUUCUGCACAUGUUCAACUCGAUGACGUCCCACGAGCUCCGAUCCAGCAAAGCUUCACAUGAGAGUUUCAUCAGCACAACGGCGUGGUGACGGUGACGAUGAUGCUACCGACGCAGGGCUUCUCCUAAGCACCGCUACGAUAUGAUCGAGGUGGAUUAUGGUGGAGGGGGGCACCGCACAUGGCUGGGAGAGAUCAACAGAUCAACUUGUGUGUCUAUGGGGUGCCCCUGCCCCCGUAUAUAAAGGAGCAAGGGGAGGAGGCAGCCGACCAGGGAGAGGCGUGCCAAGAGGGGGAGUCCUACUCCCACUAGGUGUAGGACUCCUCCUUUUCCUAGUAGGAGUAGGAGAGGGGGAAGGAAAGGGAGAGGAGGAGAAGGAGAGAGGGGGCCGGCCACUUCACACAAUACAUAAAUAUAUCAUACAUCAUCCAGAAUACAAUCAAGGUGCGACUACGGAACCAACAUAAAUAAAGACAACCCCAAAUGCUAGAUCCUCGAUCGCCCCAAUUGGGCUCCCCUAUUGAUCAUCCGAAAAAGAAACAUAAUAACGACAUGAAUCCUCGUCGAACUCCCACUUGAGUUCGGUAGCAUCCCCUGCACUGGCAUCAUCGGCACCUACAUCUGUUUGGAAGUAUCUGUGAGGCACGGGGACUCAGCAAUUUUACACCCUCGCGAUCAAAACAGCUUAUGGGUAGGAAAGGUAGUGAGGUGGAGCUGCAGCAAGCACUAGCAUGUAUGGUGGCUAAAUUACGCAAAAGAGAGUGAGACGAGAAGCAAAGCACGACCGAGAAGCUAAAAUGAUCAAGAAUGAUCCUGAAACUACUUACGUUCAAGAAUAACACGAGACCGUGUUCUCUUCCCGGACUCUGCCGAAAAGAGACCAUCACGGCUACACACGCGGUUGAUUCAUUUUAAUUAGAUUAAGUGUCAAGUUUUCUACAACCGGACAUUAACAAAUUCCCAUCUGCCCAUAACCGCGGGCACGACUUUCGAAAGUUCAAACCCUGCAGGGUUGUCCCAACUUAGCCCAUCACAAGCUCUCAUGGUCAACGAAGGAUAUUCCUUCUCCCAGGAAGACCCGAUCAGACUCGGAAUCCCGGUUACAAGACAUUUCGACAAUGGUAAAACAAGACCACUAAAGCCACCCGAUGUGCCGACAAAUCCCGAUAGGAGUCGCACAUAUCUCGUUCUCAGGGCACAGCGGAUGGGCAAGACGCCGGGUUGGCAUAAACCCUGGUUGCCCAGGGGGCGCCAGACAUCACCCAGUUUGGACCAACACUCGGAGGAGCACUGGCCCGGGGGGUUAAAAUAAAGAUGACCCUUGAGUCCGCGGAACCGAAGGGAAAAAGGCUUAGGUGGCCAAUAGUAAAACCAAGGUUGGGCCUUGCUGGAGGAGUUAUUCAAGGCGAACUGUCAAGGGGUUCCCAUAACACCCAACCGCGCAAGGAACGCAAAAUCAAGGAACAUAACACCGGUAUGAUGGAAACUAGGGCGGCAAGAGUGGAACAAAACACCAGGCAUAAGGCCGAGCCUUCCACCCUUUACCAAGUAUAUAGAUGCAUUAAAGUAAACAAGAUAUAAUAAUGAUAUCCCAAAAAUAUCCAUGUUCCAACAUGGAACAAAUUUCAUCUUCACCUGCAACUAGCAACGCUAUAAGAGGGGCUGAGCAAAGCGGUAACAUAGCCAAACAACGGUUUGCUAGGAAAGGUGGGUUAGAGGCUUGACAUGGCAAUAUGGGAGGCAUGAUAAAGCAAGUGGUAGGCAUCGCGGCAUAGCAAUAGAGUGAACAACUAGCAAGCAAAGAUAGAAGUGAUUUCGAGGGUAUGGUCAUCUUGCCUGCAAAGUUCUCCGAGUUGACGAAAACUUGAUCCUCGUAAACGUACUCAACGGGUUCCUCGAUCACGCACUCGUCUCCCGGCUCUACCCAAGGCAAGAGCACAAGCAAAGGAAACAACAAUCAACCACGGUGCAAUGCGCAAGCAACAUGACGCAAAACAUGGCAUGAUAUGCGGGAUGUGAUAUGCAAUGCAUAUGCGUGCUCCGGAAGGGAAAGAUUGAACAAGUGAAAGUGCAACUAUCCCUGGGUGGUUUUGGUAAUUCCUAACAACAUAUAGCUCAUUGAGCUAACAUUAUUCCAAGAUUAAUAUUUCAGGAAAAGCUCAAUGAAUGGCAUGGCAUGGAUGAGGAAAGGGGAUCCCUCAAAAUUCUAAGGACAAAAAGUUUGGCUCAAGCUUGAAGCUCAAGACUCUACAUUUUAUAUUUUAGUGAUCCAAGAUCACAUUGAGUCUAUAGGAAAAGCCAAUACUAUCAAGGAGGGAUGAGGUGUUGCUUAAUGGCUUGCUUGCUCAAAAUGCUUAGUGAUAUGCUCCAAAAUCCUCAACUACCUUCCCACAUCCACAUAUGACCUAAACCAAAAGUCAAACUCGGCCCCACUGAUCCUUUCUAUCUAGCGCCACCGAGUUUUCAAAUGUCAUAGCCACUGCCACAAACCCUAGGCAAAUCGGUCUCACCGAUAGGGAUCUCGGUCUCACCGAGAUGGGAUUUAAUCUCUCUGUUUCCCUUUGUAACGUUUUGGUCUUACCGAGAUGAGCGAUCGGUCCCACCGAGAUUGCAAUGUAAACUCUCUGUUUCCCUUUUGUAACAUUUCGGUCUCACCGAGAUGAGCGAAUCGGUCCCACCGAGUUUACCUGACCAACUCUCUGGUUAGCUUAUUACCAAAAUCGGUCCCACCGAGUUUGUUUAAUCGGUCACACCGAGAUUACGUUAUGCCCUAACCCUAACCAUAUCGGUCCUACCGAGUUGCAUCUCAGUCCCACCGAAAAUCCUAACGGUCACUAGGUUUGCUGAAUCGGUCCGACCGAGUUUAACCAUUCGGUCCCACCGAGUUUGGCAAAUUGUGUGUAACGGUUAGAUUUUGUGUGGAGGCUAUAUAUACCCCUCCACCCACUCUUCAUUCGUGGAGAGAGCCAUCAGAACAUACCUACACUUCCAAUACACAUUUUCUGAGAGAGAACCACCUACACUUGUGUUGAGGUCAAGAUAUUCCAUUCCAACCAUAUGAAUCUUGAUCUCUAGCCUUCCCCAAGUUGCUUUCCACUCAAAUCUUCUUUCCACCAAAUCCAAAUCCUGUGAGAGAGAGUUGAGUGUUGGGGAGACUAUCAUUUGAAGCACAAGAGCAAGGAGUUCAUCAUCAACACACCAUUUGUUACUUCUUGGAGAGUGGUGUCUCCUAGAUUGGCUAGGUGUCACUUGGAAGCCUCCGACAAGAUUGUGGAGUUGAACCAAGGAGUUUGUAAGGGCAAGGAGAUCGCCUACUUCAUGAAGAUCUACCGCUAGUGAGGCAAGUCCUUCGUGGGCGACGGCCGUGAUGGAAUAGACAAGGUUGCUUCUUCGUGGACCCUUCGUGGGUGGUGCCCUCCGUGGACUCACGCAACUGUUACCCUCCGUGGGUUGAAGUCUCCAUCAACGUGGAUGUACGAUAGCACCACCUAUCGGGACCACGACAAAAACAUCCGUGUCUCCAAUUGUGUUUGAAUCCUCCAAACCCUUCCCUUUACAUUCUUGCAAGUUGCAUGCUUUACUUUCCGCUGCUCAUAUACUCUUUUGCAUGCUUGCUUGAAUUGUGUGGAGAUUGCUUGACUUGUGCUAAGAUAGCUAAAAUCUGCCAAGAACUAAAAUUGGGAAAAGGCUAGAUUUUUAUUUGGUCAAGUAGUCUAAUCACCCCCCCUCUAGACAUACUUUCGAUCCUACAAGUGGUAUCAGAGCUUUGGUCUCCAUUUGCUUUGAUUUCCAUAGCUUUUGGCGGUCAUAGCCUUGGUUUCACAACCUAGGAGAGUAUGGCGUCUAGAGAGGGAAAUUAUCACCAUAGAGGUCCUUACUUUGAUGGCACUAAUUUUGCUAGUUGGAAGCAUAAGAUGAAAAUGCAUAUUCUCGGACAUAACCCCGCCGUUUGGGCUAUUGUGUGUAUUGGCUUGCAAGGUGAAUUCUUUGACGGGAAAGAUCCGAACCGUGAAGCCACCGCGGAAGAGUUGAAAAUGCUGCAAUACAACGCUCAAGCUUGUGAUAUCCUCUUCAAUGGAUUGUGCCCCGAAGAAUUCAACAAAAUUAGCCGUCUUGAGAAUGCAAAGGAAAUUCGGGAUACUUUGAUUGAUAUGCACGAAGGUGCCGACUCCGUCAAGGAAUCCAAAUUGGAUGUGCUUCAAAGUCAACUUGACAAGUUCAAAAUGAAGGAUGGUGAAGGUGUCGCUGAAAUGUACUCUAGGCUUGCUCUUAUCACAAAUGAGAUUGCCGACUUAGGGAGUGAAGAGAUGACCGAUAGAUUCAUCAUCAAGAGGAUCCUAAGAGCCUUGGAUGGAAAAUAUGAUACCGUGUGCACAUUGAUCCAAAUGAUGCCAAAUUACAAAGAUCUCAAGCCAACGGAAGUCAUCGAAAGAAUUGUUGCUCAUGAGAUGUCACUCAAGGAUAAAGAGGAACUUCACAACAAAUCAAGUGGUGUUUACAAAGCCUCAUGUGAAGCCCCCACGUCAUCGAGUGAGAAACAAACCUUCAAUGAAGAAUUGAGCUUAAUGGUGAAGAACUUCAAUAAUUUCUACAAGAGUAGAAGCAAAGAGAGAAGCUCCAAGUCAAGGUCCUACAAUGACAAAAGAUCUUCUAGUCGAGAGCGAAACUGCUACAAUUGUGGAAGGCCCAGACACUAUUCCAAUGAGUGUACGACCCCCUACAAGAGAAGAGAAGAUUCUCCCAAGAGAAGAAGUAGAAGAGAAGAAUCACCAUCUAGAGAAAGAAGGAGUAGAGAUGAUCGUUAUGAACGAAGACCCUCACAAAGAAGAAAGGAUUUGGAAAGAAAGGACAAGUCAUCAAGGAGCUACACAAAACGAAGACAUCAAGCUCAUGUUGGUGAAUGGGUAUCCGGCUCCGACUCCGACAGCCACUCUGAGAGAAGCUAUCACUCCGACUCCGAAUAUACUCAAGAUGAAGGUGUUGCCGGUCUAGCACUUGUGACAACCAACUCCUACGACAUAUUUGACUCACCAAAUGAAGGAGUUGGAACAUGCUUCAUGGCUAAAGGCCCAAAGGUAUCACACCCCGAGUAUGUUGAUUUCAAUAGUGAUGAAGAUGACUUGUUAGGUGAUGAUGAUUUACUUGUUGACAACUCUAGUGAUGAAUAUUGUGAUGAAACGUCAAUUAAUCAUGCUAAUCAAGAUAAAACGAAUGACAAUGAUAAGGAGAAGAUUGAGUCUCUAACUAAAGAACUAAACACUCUUAAGUUAUCUCAUGAAACUAUCUUAGGAGAUCAUCGAGAACUUUUAAGGACUCAUGAGAAAUUACGCUUUGAAAAUCUCAACCUUGAGCAAGAGCAUGAGUUCUUAAAAGCAAUCAAUGAUGAUCUUCGUAAGAAAAGUUCUUCUUACAUUGCCAAGCGUUUACUCUUAUCCACUUACAUGCCUCAAAUCAAGUCUAGUAACAAGAACAGGAAAGAUUCUUCCUCUAGUAGUAACAAUAAUCAUGCUAAAUCCAAUAUUGUUGCUUCUAGUAGUUCUCUUGAUUCCACUAAUGAUUCUCUUAGCCAAGUUACACUUGAGCAAGAAAAUAGCUUAUUGAAGGGAAUUAUAGAGAAAGGUGUUUACAAGAGCCUUGCCGGAAGUAAGCAAUUCGAGGAAAUUGUACGCAAGCAAGGAAGGCACCGGAAGAAUCAAGGUGUUGGUUUUGAACGAAAGUUCAAUGCCAAUGGAGUUGAGUGGGAAGAAGAUCAAUACCCCAAGACGAAGUUUGUUCCUCAACAAGAGAAGUAUGAUCCUACUUCUUUCAAAGGGACACAAGCUCAAGAUGAUCUUCCACCACAAGACCACAAGCAAAAAGGCAAGGACAAGCUUCAAGAGGAAAUUGAUGCAUUUGAAGAAGCUCCUAAGGCCUUGGUCAAGUGGGUUCCCAAGACUACUUCAAGUUCCACUUUAUCAAGUACAACUACAACACCGAGGAUUCCCAUCAAGAUGGUGUGGAUCCCGAAGAAGAAGAAUUAGAGAGUUCUUGAGGGUGACUCCGCCAACAUACUUCACUCUUAUCAUCUUGGCAAGAACAAGUGCAAUCAACUUCCACAUCUUGCACUAGUUCAAGGAGUCACAAACCCUCUUGUUGGUAAGACAAGGGACAAGGUAACCUAAAAGCUUUCAUAGACAUCAUCUUGUGUGCGCAUCACUUUAUGUCUAUGGAUAUCCUUGUUUGUUCCUUGUGGGACUAACCCGUGUAGGUAUUGAAAUUGCAACUCACUCCAAUGGAUAGCUUCAAAUGAUCUACAUCAACAUUGAGCAUCCACAUCUUCAACAUCUACAUGAAGUCAUCAUCGACAAAACCCAAGGUUAGUUCAUCCCUCUUAGGGGGGAUCUCACAUCUAGGGGGAGCUUUACUCUAAGAAUUGAGCUAAAGCAACUCUAAUGGUGUGAACACAACAAUGCUUUAUGUAAAAGUGGUAGCCCCACUUGUGCUUAAACGAUGAGUAUGACCUAUGAUCAAAUGUUCUCAUUUGACUCCUAAGUCAAUAUACUCAUAUAUAGAUGACCUAGUCAUCGCAAAUUGUUUGAUAGAUGCUAGAAUUGGUUGUGCAUGCUUUGCCACAUAUUUAAAUUGCCAUUUUAUUGUGUGAGCAUGUUGAUUGCAUAUUUUACUCAUUCGAGGACAUCCACUUGUUGUUUUGAUUGAUUGGUUUUCUUCUCUUUUGCCAAGUGGAUGGACAAGAAUGCCUAAGAACCCUCUCUAGCUAUCUAUGAUUUUCUCGUCUCAAACUCUAUUCAUGCUACAUCACAAAAUUUGAUCAAGUCAUAUUCGAACCACUCUGUGUGAGGAGCACUCGGAGUCCCCGUUUCGUCAUAGACUUAAACUUCCAAAACUUCUUUGUGCGUUUUGGUCUGACCGAUUCAUUCAUUUCGGUCAUACCGAGAUCACUAAGUCGAUCUAGGUUUUCAAUCUCGGUGCAACCGAUUUGAACCUUUCGGUCACACCGAGUUUCAGUAACUGAUUGCAGUUAUGAAUCUCGGUGCCACCGAGUUGUUCCACUCGGUCACACCGACAGGGUCGGGCUAUAUAUACCCACGGGUCAAAUUUUGGAAAACUUUCCGAACCUCCUCGACCCGCGCUUAGCCCGCUCUGCCUCCAGGGUCUCCGGAUCGUCUUCCUCGUCGCCAGUCGCCUCCUGCUGCUGGUCUCCACCGCCGUCAACGGGAAUCAUCCCCGCCGUUGCCGCUGUAGCGAGUUCAUCGCCGAACUAGGGUAUGAACUCGAUCACUGUGCUAUCCCUAUCUGAUUCCUAGCACAUUGUGUUCACCAUGUAUCUUGCCACGAUUGAGAUCAUUCUUAUCCAGUCAAAACACUCCGUAGUUUAGUUGUGAAUUGAAAAUUUAGGGUUAGGUUUCCGCCGAAACCAUCUCGGACCCACCGAGUUUGUGGAACUCGGUACCAUCGAUUCAGCUCAGGCCAUUGCACAUGUAAUUUUUGGUCUGACCGAGAAUUGCAAAUCGGCGUGACCGAGUUCAGGACUUUGUGAAACCCUAGCAGUCUCGGUGCCACCGAACUGUGACUCGUUCUGACCGAGUUCACUAGUUUAGGUUCCAACAGCUGCUUCGGUAUCACCGAAUUUACAAAUCGGUUGAUCCGAAAUGCUUUCUGUGGAAAACUAAAACUAAGUUUUUGACUCAUUCUUUUGCAAAAACCUCUGCAUUUUGUGAUGCUCAUCCACUCUAUCUCAUCUAUAUCUAUUCACAGGGUCUGCUGUCAGUGUUUGCAAUAUGUCUGAUCAGAGUGACAACCAGAAUAGGUCAGAUGAGCAGGUUCACCUGAGUGAGGGCACUAGUCCCUCUAGCAGUUCAGAUGAUGGUAGCAGGAGCACCCCAAGAAACUUACCCAAAGCUGCCACCAGGGCCAGAAAGAAGAAGACCUUUGAAUCUGAGGAUGAAGACUAUGUGGCAGUUGAGGAUGAGGCCACUUCCAAGAAGAAAGUGGUUAAGAAGGAAUAUAGCACUAUUGCUGCCACCAAGCCAGGCAUGAAGCAAAAGGUUCCUGCAAAGAGAAUUCCAAUGUCUAAGGCCAGAUCAUCUACUCAAGUCCCUUUGGGAUCUGAACCCAAAGAGGCUGCUGCAGAAGGGAAGAAGAGGAAGGUGAGGAUCAAAAAGACCACUGCUAGAGUGCUUGGGAGAUCCUCAACCAUGAGAGAUUCUAAAGAGGAAGAGGAAGAAGAGGUUGCUGCACCAGCACCCAAGGCACAAAAGCUGAUGGGUGAUGUUAUAAAGUCAGAGGCUGCAACAUCAAAGCCCAAAGAAGCACCCAAAGCAGCCUCCAAGCCCAAGAGUGCACCUAAGAGGAAUACCAGGAAUAUACCAGCUGUUGAGAAGAAUAAGGCCCCAAUGCCUGAAGUUGCUGCAGAUGAAGAUGAUGAAGGACAAGUCCUGAGGAAGCUCAAACCCAAAAUCCCAGAUCACAAUGAUGCUCAUCCAGUAGCUGAGAACAUGAAGAUAAGGAAGGACUCGGGUCUGAGGCUAUGGAGAGUGUCAGAUCCAUAUGCCACCAGGAGAAGGACUGCUAUUGAUUACAGGUUCCACACAAAGGAACAACAGGACUUCUAUGAGACAGUGUUGCUUGACAAGAAGCCCAUAAUGUGUGACAUGAGAUGGGUCGACUGGGACUACAUCAAGGAGAAUGAGGAUCACUAUCCAGGUGUACAUGAUAGUUUCAAGGCUUGUGGAGUCGAUGAGUUUGUGGCUCAGAAGCUCACAAAAUGGAAUGAUGAGCUCAUCAUGCAGUUCUACUCCACAGCUCAUUUCUACCCAGAUGGAAGGAUUGUAUGGACGUCUGAAGGUACGAGGUACUAGUCCACGGUUGCUGAAUGGGCGAAGUUGAUCAAUGCCCCAAAAGAGAGUGAAGAUGACUUGGAUGUCUAUGCCAACAUGAAGAAGGAUUACAACACAAUGGCACACAUGUACAAAGAGAUCCCAGAUGCUGCUCUUGAGACACAUAAGUUUGGAUCUGUACAUUACCUUCUGUCAGGAUUGCCAACCAUCAACUGGAUCCUCAGGCACACUCUCUUGCCAAAGUCAGGUGAUCACAAGAUGAUCAGAGGCCAUGCAAUUAACUUGCUUCACAUCUUUGAUGUCCCACAGAAACUCAAAGUCAUGAGCCUAAUAGUUGAAACUAUCAAGAGGACAGCUGCAGAUCAGAAGAGGAGUUGUGGGUAUGCCCCACAGAUCCAGGAGCUAAUCAACUCCAAGAUGGGCACUGGUACAUAUCUGCUGGACAAGGAGCACAUGCCUAUCUAUCCAGACUUCAAGGACAACAUUGUGGUUAUGAAUAAGGAUGAACCAUCUUCUGUGCACACACAAGCCAAGAAGGAGAAGGCAAAAGCUGAAAAGGCUGCAAGGAUGCCAACUACUGAAGAAGCAUCUCAGUAUCUCCUGAAGAGCAAGCAAGAUAAGCUUGGCUACCUGAUUGCAUCCACUCUGAGGAUUGAGAAGGGACUGGCCACCCUGACUCAAAACCAGGAGAGCUUGGAAAGAAUCGUGGAGCAAAAAUUCUAUGACUUGGAUGUGAAGGUAACUGAGAUUCAGUCUGUUGUGGAGCAACUUCAAGAUGAUAUGCAGGAGAGAAAGGGCAAUACAACCACUGAUGCAUUUGCCAGAGUGCCUAGAGCUCAGAUGUCUGCUGCAGUGCCUGUUCCAUACACCAGAGCCACUUCAUCUGCACUAGCUACAGCUUCAGCGCAACCAGCUCCAGCACCAACUCCUUCAGCUCCAUCCACAUCAACUGAAGUCUUCAUCCAAGGAGCCAUCUCUACGCCACCACCUGAAGACCAAGCUUGAGAGACGUUUUAGUGCUAUGCAUUUUCUAUGAACUUUUUGGUAAGUUGUUGCCAAAGGGGGAGAAACUGUAUAGAUCAUAGGCUUCGAGAGAGAGAGCGUUGCUUUUUAUUCUCUCUUGCUUUGAUGGUUGAACUUUGUUUGUCUGUUGGUUGCUUGAGAUACUAUGCUAUUAUCUGUGAGACAUUGAUGAUCAUGUGGUUGAUCAUAAGCUACACUUAUGCUUGUUAGAUGACAUUAUCUUACUUAUCCUUAUAUGAUCAUUCACUUUGCUUGGUGAUGAGUGCAUGUAUUCAAUCUUUAUUAUUUUGAGCGCUCCACCAAGAUGUAUGUGACAUGGAAGAGUAACCCAUGAUCCUAACUCAUUGUGCAUUUGCAGUCCAAAGCAAAUCUUAAGAUAUGCACAAAUUUAGGGGGAGCUCUUGCUUUUCACAUACUUCUCAAAGCGACAAUAUCUUUCACUCUUAUUAUCAUUUGUCGAAGCUUUGAUCUAUAUGUUGUCAUUAGUUACCAAAAAGGGGGAGAUUGAAAGUGCAACUAUCCUUGGGUGGUUUUGGUAAUUCCUAACAACAUAUAGCUCAUUGAGCUAACAUUAUUCCAAGAUUAAUAUUUCAGGAAAAACUCAAUGAAUGGCAUGGCAUGGAUGAGGAAAGUGGAUCCCUCAAAAUUCUAAGGACAAAAAGUUUGGCUCAAGCUUGAAGCUCAAGACUCUACAUUUUAUAUUUUAGUGAUCCAAGAUCACAUUGAGUCUAUAGGAAAAGCCAAUACUAUCAAGGAGGGAUGAGGUGUUGCUUAAUGGCUUGCUUGCUCAAAAUGCUUAGUGAUAUGCUCCAAAAUCCUCAACUACCUUCCCACAUCCACAUAUGACCUAAACCAAAAGUCAAACUCGGCCCCACUGAUCCUUUCUAUCCGGCGCCACCGAGUUUCAAAUGUCAUAGCCACUGCCACAAACCCUAGGCAAAUCGGUCUCACCGAUAGGGAUCUCGGUCUCACCGAGAUGGGAUUGUAAUCUCUCUGUUUCCCUUCGUAAUGUUUCAGUCUUACCGAGAUGAGCGAUCGGUCCCACCGAGAUUGCAAUGUAAACUCUCUGUUUCCCUUUUGUAACAUUUCGGUCUCACCGAGAUGAGCGAAUCGGUCCCACCGAGUUUACCUGACCAACUCUCUGGUUAGCUUAUUACCAAAAUCAGUCCCACCGAGUUUGUGUAAUCGGUCACACCGAGAUUACGUUAUGCCCUAACCCUAACCAUAUCGGUCCUACCGAGUUGCAUCUCAGUCCCACCGAAAAUCCUAACGGUCACUAGGUUUGCUGAAUCGGUCCGACCGAGUUUAACCAUUCGGUCCCACCGAGUUUGGCAAAUUGUGUGUAACAGUUAGAUUUUGUGUGGAGGCUAUAUAUACCCCUCCACCCACUCUUCAUUCGUGGAGAGAGCCAUCAGAACAUACAUACACUUCCAAUACACAUUUUCUGAGAGAGAACCAUCUACACUUGUGUUGAGGUCAAGAUAUUCCAUUCCAACCAUAUGAAUCUUGAUCUCUAGCCUUCCCCAAGUUGCUUUCCACUCAAAUCUUCUUUCCACCAAAUCCAAAUCCUGUGAGAGAGAGUUGAGUGUUGGGGAAACUAUCAUUUGAAGCACAAGAGCAAGGAGUUCAUCAUCAACACACCAUUUGUUACUUCUUGGAGAGUGGUGUCUCCUAGAUUGGCUAGGUGUCACUUGGGAGCCUCCGACAAGAUUGUGGAGUUGAACCAAGGAGUUUGUAAGGGCAAGGAGAUCGCCUACUUCGUGAAGAUCUACUGCUAGUGAGGCAAGUCCUUCAUGGGCGACGGCCGUGAUGGAAUAGACAAGGUUGCUUCUUCAUGGACCCUUCAUGGGUGGAGCCCUCCAUGGACUCGCACAACCGUUACCCUCCGUGGGUUGAAGUCUCCAUCAACGUGGAUGUACGAUAGAACCACCUAUCGGAACCACGACAAAAACAUCCGUGUCUCCAAUUGCGUUUGAAUCCUCCAAACCCUUCCCUUUACAUUCUUGCAAGUUGCAUGCUUUACUUUCCGCUGCUCAUAUACUCUUUUGCAUGCUUGCUUUAAUUGUGUGGAGAUUGCUUGACUUGUGCUAAGAUAGCUAAAAUCUGCCAAGAACUAAAAUUGGGAAAACGCUAGAUUUUUAUUUGGUCAAGUAGUCUAAUCACCCCCCCUCUAGACAUACUUUCGAUCCUAUAACAAGGCAUCAACUUGGCAAACCAAGUGUUCCCUGGAAAGAUGAGUUGAUUUCGGUCGAAAUCGAUAUAAAGAUCACCGGAAUCGGAUGCACGGUUUGCAAAUGGCAAGCAAAACAAUAAUGGCACAAUUCUGCGAUUAACAGCACGAUGCCAUCUAGAGUGCGACAAGAAACUAAUCUACUGCAUCCCAACAUAGAAACAAAGCACAUGGCAAUGAUCUACUCAAGAUGCUUGACAAAAAUGAACAAUGAGCUAUGGAUAAAUCACACAAGAGCAGGUUCAAACAAGUAUGGCAAAAGUGCAAAAGAUAUCAGCAUCACAGACUUAGUGAAAAUACUAAGAUGCCAGGAAUAACAUCAGGAAGCAAUGUUUAGAGCAAGCUAACAACAUGCUAAAGGAACAGAACAUAUCAAACAAAGGCAUGGCAUGAAUCUACUCAAAGUAUAGAACAAAAGUCCCUUACUGAUCAAGAGCCAAAGAGGCACAGAAGAUAUUAUGGCACCCAUGUAAACAUAGCAAGUUUCGUUAACAGAUUCAGACUUAGCAGGAAACUGAGCAUGGCAAAACAGAGUUAUGAAGGCAUCUUUGCGAGCUCGAUUCACUCACCACAAGGCAUUGCAUGACAAGAUAAGCAUACUACCAGCAAUAAGACAUGGUCAUAAGGAUAACCAUGGCAAGAACAAGUUUAUAGCAUGCUUGGAUCAACUACAACAUCCAUGGCAAAAUUGAUUAACAUGUAAACAAUCUGCCAGGAACAUUUUAUAGGAAAAGUAGAGCAAUAUUAAGUCAUGCUAGGGCACUCCAUAAUUGCAAACAGGGGCAUGGAUGGAUAGAGCAUAACCAUAUGUCCAAAUCAUCCUUACUGAAGCAACUCAAAUAAAGCAUGGAUCACUCUGUAGCAUCAUGGAUACAUGGCAUAAAAAUAACAGCAGGAAAAUGACUUACUGAAAUCCUAAGUCCCUGAAAUCAACAAUAUCAUGAAGGCUACUUUGCAUGCUUGUGAUAGUCACCACAUUGAUCACAAAAAUACAUGGAAAGCACCCCUGUAAAGAUGACAUGGCAUAGAUCAAAAAACAUGUAGAGCUCAUGCCCAUAUGCAACACACAACAAGUGUAGCAAAAAUGAAAAAUCCUCAUACUCUGAUAAGAAUCAGCACCUAACAAUUUAUAGCACUCUUGCAUCCACGAUUUGGGCAUUAAAAUGGACUCAAACAAGCAUGUCACAAUGGAAUAAAAUGAAGAGCACAUCAUGAUGAACAUUUUGAUAUAUCGCACGCACAAAACGGAGCAGUACACAUGAAGUUAUGGCAUGAUGAACAAGGCCUGAAAAAUUACAUGAAAAAGACAGAGAAAUUCUGGACCUCCAGAUCUAGGGUUAGCACACGCUUCCCGAGGAUCAUCGGAAGACAUCGCCGGAGUAGACGGGGACGAAGCGGAUGGCGGCCGGAGCGGAGGAGAGGACGCCGGGCGGCGACGCGCGCGCAAAGGGCAGCGACGGCGAGCGAGCACUGNNNNNNNNNNNNNNNNNNNNNNNNNNNNNNNNNNNNNNNNNNNNNNNNNNNNNNNNNNNNNNNNNNNNNNNNNNNNNNNNNNNNNNNNNNNNNNNNNNNNNNNNNNNNNNNNNNNNNNNNNNNNNNNNNNNNNNNNNNNNNNNNNNNNNNNNNNNNNNNNNNNNNNNNNNNNNNNNNNNNNNNNNNNNNNNNNNNNNNNNNNNNNNNNNNNNNNNNNNNNNNNNNNNNNNNNNNNNNNNNNNNNNNGGCGGCGCGGGGGCGGCGGACGCGCCACGUGGCAGACGGAGAAUGGCUGGGCACGGCGGCGGAGGAUGUGUCCGGCACCGGUGGACGUGUCCGUCGCGCAGAGGAAGGAGGAGACUAGGGUUUCGCCCGAAUUUUGAGGGGGGUGCACAUAUUUAUACCUAGAAGGAGGUGGGAGUGUCCAAAUGAGGUGUAGUUUUCGACCAUGCGAUCGUGAUCCGACGGCGGAGGACAUGAGAUAGGUUUGGAUGGGUUAUUGGGCCACUUUGGAGGGGUGUUGGGCUGCAACACACACGAGGCCUUUACAGUUCCCCGGUUAACCAUUGGAGUAUCAAACAGACUCCAAAUGGCACGAAACUUGAUAGGCGGUCUACCGGUGGUGUACCAAGGCCGCUUGGCAAAUCUCGGUCCAUUCCAAGAAAGUUUAACACCCGCUCACGAAAAGAGGCAAAAGGGGGCGCCGAAGGACGUAGGAGUGUCGGAUUGCAAAACGGACAACGGGGAAAAUGCUCGGAUGCAUGAGGCGAACACGUAAGCAAAUGAGAUGCACAUAAUGACAUGAUAUGAAAUGCAUGACAUGGACAAAAUGCAAAACAAAGACAAAACCCAACCACGAGGAAAUCUCAUAACUUAGAGCCGAAAUGGCAAGAGUCGAAGUACAAAUAUGGCGAGUUACAUCCGGGGUGUUAAAGUGCCCCUGCCCCCGUAUAUAAAGGAGCAAGGGGAGGAGGCGGCCGGCUAGGGAGAGACGCGCCAAGAGAGGGAGUCCUACUCCCACAAGGAGUAUGACUCGUUUUCCUAGUAGGAGUAGGAGAGGGGGAAGGAAAGGGAGAGGAGGAGAAGGAAAGAGGGGGCCGACCCCCUUGCCCUAAACCAAUUCGGUUUGGGCCUUGGGGGGCGCGCCCCACACUCCCCUUGCUGACCUCUAUUUCCACUAAGGCCCAUGUAGGCCCAUUAAGCCCCCCGGGGGGUUCUGGUACCCCCCGGUACUCCGGUAUAUGUCUGAAACCUUCCGGAACCUUUCUGAUGUCCGAACAUAGUCGUCCAAUAUAUCGAUCUUUACGUCUCGACCAUUUCGAGACUCCUCGUCAUGUCUGUGAUCAUAUCCGGGACUCCGAACUACCUUCGGUACAUCAAAACACAAAAACUCAUAAUACCGAUCGUCACCGAACUUUAAGUGUGCGGACCCUACGGGUUCGAGAACUAUGUAGACAUGACCGAGACACGUCUCCGAUCAAUAACCAAUAGCGGAACCUGGAUGCUCAUAUUGGCUCCCACAUAUUCUACGAAGAUCUUUAUUGGUCAAACCGCAUAACAACAUACGUUGUUCCCUUUGUCAUCGGUAUGUUACUUGCCCGAGAUUCGAUCGUCGGUAUCUCAAUACCUAGUUCAAUCUCGUUAUCGGCAAGUAUCUUUACUCGUUCCGUAAUACAUCAUCCCACAACUAACUCAUUAGUUACAAUGCUUGCAAGGCUUAUAGUGAUGUGCAUUACCGAGUGGGCCCAGAGAUACCUCUCCGAAAAUCGGAGUGACAAAUCCUAAUCUCGAAAUAUGCCAACUCAACAAGUAACUUAGGAGACACCUAUAGAGCACCUUUAUAAUCACCCAAUUACGUUGUGGCGUUUGGUAGCGCACAAAGUGUUCCUCCGGUAAACGGGAGUUGCAUAAUCUCAUAGUCAUAGGAACAUGUAUAAGUCAUGAAGAAAGCAAUAGCAACAUACUAAACGAUCAAGUGCUAAGCUAACGAAAUGGGUCAAGUCAAUCACAUCAUUCUCCUAAUGAUGUGAUCACGUUAAUCAAAUGACAACCCAUGUCUAUGGCUAGGAAACAUAACCAUCUUUGAUCAACGAGCUAGUCAAGUAGAGGCAUACUAGUGACACUCUGUUUGUCUAUGUAUUCACACAUGUAUCAUGUUUCCGAUUAAUACAAUUCUAGCAUGAAUAAUAAACAUUUAUCAUGAUACAAGGAAAUAAAUAAUAACUUUAUUAUUGCCUCUAGGGCAUAUUUCCUUCACAAAGAUCUUUAUCGGUCGAACCGUUAUGACAACAUACAUAAUUGCAUUCUUCCAUCGGUAUGUUACUUGCCCGAGCUUCGAUCAUUGGUAUCUUCAUACCUAGUUUAAUCUCGUUACCAGCAAGUCUCUUUACUCAUUCCAUUAUAAAAGAUCUUGUGGCUAACUCAUUAGUCACAUUGCUUGCAAGCUCAUUGUGAUACUGUAUUAUCGAGUGGGCCCUGAGAUACCUCUCCGUCAUACGGACUGACAAAUCCCAGUUUUGAUCCAUGCCAACUCAACAGACACCCUCGAAGAUACCUAUAGAGCACCUUUAUAGUCACUCAGUUACAUUGCGACAUUUGGUACACACAAGGUGCUCCUCCAGUGUCAGUGAGUUGCAUUAUCUCAUGGUCAUAGGAACAUAUACUUGACAUGCAGAAAACGAUAGCAAUAAACUUGACACGAUCAUAUGCUAUGUUUAUAGUUUGGGUCUUUGUCCAGCACAUCAUUCUCCUAAUGAUGUGAUCCCAUUAUUAAAUGACAACUCAUGUCUAUGACUAGGAAACCAUAGCCAUCUUUGAUCAACGAGCUAGUCCGGUAGAGGCUUAGUAGGGACAUGUUGUUGUCUAUGUAUCCACACAUGCAUUUGAGUUUCCGGUCAAUACAAUUAUAGCAUGGAUAAUAAACGAUUAUCAUGAACAAGGAAAUAUGAUAAUAACCAAUUUAUUAUUACCUCUAGGGCAUACUUCCAACAGUCUCCCACUUGCACUAGAGUCAAUAAUCUAGUUCACAUAGCCAUGUGAUUAACACUCAUAGUCCAUAUCGCCAUGUGACUAACACCCAAAGAGUUUACUAGAGUCAAUAAUCUAGUUCACAUCACCAUGUGAUUAACACUCAGUGAGUUCUAGGAUUUGAUCAUGUUAUGCUUGUGAGAGAGGUUUUAGUCAACGAAUCCACAACAUUCAGAUCUGCAUGUACUUCACAAAUCUCUGUGUCAUUUUGUAGAUGCCGCUAUCACGCUCCACCUAGAACUAUUCCAAAUGGUUCCUCCACUAUACGCAUCCAGUUUGCUACUCAGAGUCAUCCAGAUAGGUGUUAAAGCUUGCAUCGACAUAACCCUUUACGCUGAACUCUUUAUCACCUCCAUAACUGAGAAACAUUUCCUUAUUCCUCAAAGGACAAUUUUGACCGUUGUCCAGUGAUCCACUCCCGGGCCACUUUUGUACCCCUUGCCAGACACAUGGCAAGGCACACAUCAGGUGCGGUACACAGCAUGGCAUACCAUAUAGAGCCUAUCACUACUGCAGGAUGCUGCUAACACGACACUACGAUCAGAGACCCUUCGAGAAACUGUGUGCGAUGCAAUAAUCACAAACGGUGGUGUAUGAAAACCAUCAAAAAUGUAUAAAAUGUUUGCGAUGACAAAUGCAUCAAACAUGGUUCAGAUUUUAGUUGCGUGUGCAAUGAAGGGCAUACGGUUCAGUUCAAUUAACUGUUUGCGAUAGGAGGAACAAAAGAAACGGGCAGCCAGAUGAAGGCGUGUGCGAUACACAACAUAUGGUUCACUCGGAUGAACUGUUUGUGAUUAGGCAACACAAAAUAAACGGGCAGCCAGAUGAAGGUGUGUGCGAUAUACAACAUACAGUUCACUCGGAUGAACUGUUUGUGAUUAGGCAACACAAAAGAAAUGGUCAGCCAUAUCAAUGUGUGUAUGAUAUACGCAUGCGGUUCACUCGGCCCUUGUCAUCAGUGUGUGACCUCUGUGGCAACCGUUCGCUCCCCAAGCGCCUCUUCGUGUACCGUGGCAACCGUACACCGACUCUUUGCCUUUCCCUCUCGAUUUGGAACUGCUGUCGCACGCUCUUCCUCCCUCCUCCAUUUUUCUUCACCCUUCUUUCUGCCAUUGUUCGAUCGUCUUCUUCAUCAAGGGAACAGGCCGUAAACGACCCCGUUAUUCUUGCCCCGAUCUGAAUGAUGACACGGUGGAGGAACUCAUUGAUCGGUGCAACGUCAUCACCUCGGCUAGCAUGGCAGGUUCAUUCAAGACCAUUCUCGACUCAACUAAUAACAUCAUUACAAGGAACCCAAGGGUCCAGGAGCGGUUUGAUCUCCCCUAUCUUCUUCGCCGGGACCCUACUGACUGGCGCGGGGACGAGGGAAGCCUCGCCUUGUGCAAGUUGAUGCCGCUUGAUAAUGAUACGUAUGAUGUUAAGAUGCCAUCGUUUGAGGGCAAGGCUUGGGCAGGCACAAAUGGAGAUUGGGUUGUUUAUAUUGGGUACAACUGCGAGUGGGUACUUGUGAAUGUGUACACUCGUCACCGGGUUCCACUUCCAAAAAUCUCAGACGACUGCCCAGAGGUUGAGUACACCGGUAUUCUACGUGAGUUCAAAUACGAUCAUGGUGACUAUCAUCUACGGAAGAUAGCAAUUUGUCGAGUUCCCAACUGCUCUUGGGAUUAUACGAACUAUGAAGUUGUUGCUAUCUUCGACAAGAUUAUUGUCGUCCUUACUUCCAUGCCUCGAUGGAUAUUGCUCAAAAAUCAAUUUCUGUACACGAAUGAGUACUGUGAUGCAAUUCAAUACGAGGGUCUUGUGUUUGCUGCCACCACUUGUGGCACUGUUUUUGCAUGGAAUUCUGAUGCUUUCGGUAUGUUUGUCUUCCACCGUAAUUAUAAUUGUUUCAUCCACAUGCAUGCGGGUUAGCUAGUUUCCCUUUACUAAUUAACCUUCUUGUGUUUCGAAGGUCCUGUGAACAUUCCACCACCUAUACUUGAAAAUUUUUAUAACCAAGGGGGAGAUGACGAUGCUGAUGAUCACGAGCAUGAGGAGGAGCAGGACCCAUAUACUCAGUGGCGCCUGGCAACUUAUUCCGAUGGAUCACCUCUUCUUGUCUGUAUACAGUGCACUGCUGAUGUUACCAAGGAAGCAUGUGCUGUCUCGCAUGGUUGCACUCCCCGGACCUAUUCCAACAUCCGUUGCAGGGUAUUCAGGAUGGAUACUAGUGUACUAGCACCAACACCUUCUCCCUGGUUCAGUAUUGAAAGUCUUGGAGGAAACUCACUCUUCCUUGGACAAAACUAUCCAAUGAUGGUGGAAGGUGAUCCAGCUGCUGUUGACACAACGUUACUACCAUUUAUGAGAAGCAACUGUAUCUAUACCUCGGACAUUGCUAUGCUUCCCUACCGUCCCAAUAUGGGUCCUAACAUAGGCCGCUUCAGCCUGGAUGAUCAGUCCUGCAUUGGUCUCGAGAUUGACAGUAGCUGGCCCUUCCCAGAGAAUCACUUCUGGUUCAAAGCAAGCGUUUCCAACGACGACGAGUGGUUGCGUUGAAGUUCAUUUCAUCUCUUUGUUAUUUGUUGUCGUGGAAUUGUCACGGCAGAUGUCCUAGAGCAAGGACUUAGUCGUAGGGCCAUCGCACUAGGAAGCUUAAGGGGAUUGAUCGGGACAAAUGACACGAGAGGGUUUUAUACUAGUUCAGCCCCUUACGAUGAAGGUAAAAGCCUACGUCUAGUUGGGAUUGGUAUUGCUAGGGUUUCGAUCACCAAGAGGCUCAACUCGCCGGCUUGGUUAUCGACUUGUUCUUUCUUGCCCUAAGCCGCCACCGGGUCGUUCCCUUAUAUACAUGGGUUAACGUCUGGUGGCCUACAGAGUCCCGGUCGGCUCAUAAUCGUGUCCGGCUCGGUGACUUCCUUUACAUGCCUUUCUUUACAAGUCUUUCCUUACAUAUGGCGGUUCACAAUAUCAGGCCUUAAACCGCCUUCAGGCCUUUGGGCCUUCUAUAAGAUUUAAUACACUAUAAUCUUGAAUGUUUACUGGGCUUCUUGUGUAACCCGCCAUUGGGGCUGACCCGGCCCCUCCUGGGCGGGUCAUAACUGAUAGUAAUAUCCCCAACAUUAGGCCCCAGGUUGACUUUGAACUUCGUUCUUUGUCAAUCUUCAAUACUUAGACAAAAAUCCAUCUUCUUAUCUUCGUUGAAAUUUUCUUGUAACCCGCCGUGACGUCAUCUCUUGAAAAAGCAAAAAACUUUCAUGACAUCAUCUUCCAACGGAUCUUUUAUCUUUAAUGUUUCCCGAGAAUCGAGGCGCCUGUAUAGCUGGUAGCCAUUAUUCGGCUCUCCCUUGAUUUUCGCGCCCGUCUGUUCGCAUCUUUUUCUUAUAAAUAGGCAUGCCUCGGCCUUCUCAUUCUCCUCUCUCGCUCCAUCUUCUUCCUCUCGCAAACCCCCUACUGCUCGAGCUUCGCCACCGCCGCGCUUCACCUCCGUCUCCGUCGACGUUGGCCGCUGCAUCAACCCGAACCGAUCCAGAGAACAACGGCGACCUCCGCAGCAGAUCCGCAAUCAUAAGUGUCUUCCUUUUUAUUUCUCAGAUUCUCAUUUUAGGGUUUCCAAGCUCCUGCGUGUUCUUCAUAGUUCAUCAUAGUUCAUCGUAGUUCUUCCACUGCCAGCCUUUUCUGAUCCAAAAAGUUAUAUAUAUGCUCGCGCGGUAGUGUUUUUGUACCUCUUCUUGAUCCACAGAUCCCUUUCUCUGAUUAAAAGGUUGCUUCAGAACUUACCGACUCCUUUGUACUAAACUUUUUAGGUCUAGAAUUGUUUUCAUUUUUGAAUAACCAUUUGAUCUGGAAUAAUACCAAGCAAUGUAGGAAACUUGUUUGUCUCAAUACUUAGCUGAAUUUGCCUUCUUCAAAUAUCUGUAGUCAUGGCGGCUUAUCAUGUCGGCUUAAUUUUCCUUAUAUGUCAUUAGCCCUUAACUAAGCCGCCAUUACUUGUUUGCAUCUUCAUCACUUAACUGUCAAUCUCACCAUUAAACUGAACCGACAUGUUAGCUUUCCUUUUCAGUUCUUUGCACAUCAUGCCAUCCAAAACACCAACCAUCUGUAACUGGGUUCCCUCAACCAUAACUGAGGAACGUUUAAAAGAGUUCUUCACCAUAGGAUUUCUGCCAACGAAAAUCGUCAUGUCUUACCGUGCCCCUGACCCGGAAGAAGAAUGGCCCAAUCCAAGAGACGGUGAGGUGAUCGUUUUUACUGACCACAUGAGCCGUGGCUUCUCACCGCCCGGCUCAAAGUUCUUCAGAGAGGUCCUCCAAUUUUUCAAGCUCCACCCUCAAGAUAUCGGGCCCAACUCCAUAUCUAACAUCUAUAACUUCCAAGUGCUCUGUGAGGUAUAUCUUUAAUAAGAGCCGACCGUGGAGUUGUUUAGAGAAUACUUUUAUCUAAACCGGCAGAACGAGUGCACCAACGGCCUUAGCUUAGAGCUUGGAGGCAUAUCAAUUCAGCACCGGCAGGGUGCCGUCUUCCCCCUCAUUGUCUUACCAAGUCACCCAAAGGACUAGAACCAGACUUGGUUCUACUGCCAGGACACUUCACCAGCAAACGAGAAGCCACUGCCAGGUUAUCGCCCCGAUCGUCUUGACUCCAAAUUCACGCUUCCUGAUAAGCUUACCGUCGCUGAACGCAAGAGGCUGAUACCAUCUAUCAAAAGGGUCAAUGCUCUGUUGGGGAACGGGUUAACUGGAGUUGAUCUGACCCACUGCUGGAUCUCAUGGUGGGUCAUCCCUUUGAGCCGCCGGUCAAAGCUGAUGUAUGAGUAUGGUGGAGGCCCGGAUGACUCUCUUCGUCACAGCCCCAUUCAAUUGACAGAAGAAGAUAUUGUCUCAAUGUCAACUCUUCUGGUGAACGGGAAAUACGAAGAUUGCAGUGUCGUAAUGUUAAACCCCUUCUGUCAGCUUAACCCGGUGCCAGAAGUAAGGAUGUCGUUAUUUCUCUCUUUUGUAUUUUCCCAGCCGCAUUGUUUUAAUACUUGCCUGACUCUUUAUCUUGUUUUUUACCUGUCUGCAGGCCAACUCUGACUUCUGGAAAUUUAAGUAUGAUCACGAGGCUGCCAAGAAAGCGAAAGCCGCCGCCACAAACGCCAAGAAAACGACCCGGAGGUCGAAAAAGAAGAAAAAGAUCACUGCUGAAGAUUUGAUGAAGCUUGAUGAUACAUCUGACUCGGAGGUAGCCCUUGAUUCCCUUGGCCAAUUUUUUAACAAUCUUAUUGACACUGAUCAUUACCAGGAUGACACUGGGGCCAGUCAGGCUGUGGAAGCAGAGGUAACUAUCAUUUCCUUCGACUCAGAGCCCUUGCCAAGGCAAAAGGUUCGACGAGUGAUCCGUAAAGUAAUGUUUUCUAACCCUUUAGCUCACUUGGAUCCCAACUUUCGUUUGAAAAAGCAGCAACAUGAAAGCCGCCAUCAAGCUGGGACUGAAGAUGAGCCGGUUGUCGUUCUUCAACAAACUCCUCAGAAGCAUCCGAAUGAGGUUUACUUCUUUCUGUCUUUAACUCUUUUUAAUGGAUCCUUCCUCUUGUAUUACUUUUAACUCUAUUUUAUCCUUUUAGGAGGUGUCUCGCUCUUCUGGAGACUCAUCACAGACGCAAUUUCCGGCCUUCAAGACUGCCCCUGGGUAAUGAAAAAUCCUCAUAUUUCUAUGUUGCUCAAAUUGUAUCUUUAUACUGAUGAUCUUGCAACAUUUUUCUUAGUGGCCAAGCUAAAUCCAAGAAAGCGAAGGUAGCUAAACUGGUGGAAGACCCGCCAGUGCUUGCAUCUGACCCGGCCAGUCCAUCUUCUCCAUGAACCGACACUCCAGCAGACCCGCCUGUUGAUGUAGAAGCAAAUCCUCCUGAGCCGUCGUUUGAUGAGACCACUGUAAACCCUUCUGCUACUGGACCAUCAAGCUCAGCCAACCCUCCAUCACCGUCUGCACAAGACUUCAGAUCACCGGGAGCCGCUUUAUUGAACCGGGGAGUCCAACCGUGCUGGCUCGGUGUACUGCGAAAUAAGAGGCAUUGGAGAGGCAGAAAUUUCGCUUUGACGUUGCCAACUAUGACCAUCUAAAUGCCAAUGAUAUUUUAUCUGGCUAUCUUAGUCAUGUACACUCCAGUCGCGACUCUGAGAUUGAAAUGGUCAAACAGCUGCAGUUGAAAUACGAGGUACGUUCUUCCAGCUUAUCUAUAUUCCUUCAGCCCCCAAGUCUUCAGAUUAUGAGAGAACCGGAAUGAUCUAUAGACUUUAAAAUAUAGGCCGAGACCUUUACCUUUGAAACUUUUCUUGAAUUCAAUAGAACAAAGCUUCACCUGUAGUCCCCAAGGGCCGGUUUAUUUUGAUCAUAAAUGAGCCGGUACCUUAAAUUGUUUGGUACCAUAUUCAAAGGACUUAAUUGUAACACCCUCGAUGUGGCUAUAUCUCCCACGUGUCGAAGCACGACUUAGAGGCAUAACCGCAUUGAAAGCAAUGUCACAAGUGAGGUAAUCUUCGCAAACAACCCAUGUAAUACAAUAAGGGAAAAAGGAUACAUAGUUGGCUUACACUCGCCACGUCACACAAAUGCAUAAAUAACAUUACAUUCAUCCAAAUACACUCAAGGUCCGACUAUGGAACCAAAAUGAAGAUAAACCCCAAAUGCAACAUAGUCCCCGAUCGCCCCAACUGGGCACCACUACUGAUCAUCUGGGAAAGACAUGUAGUAACGACGAGAGUCUUCAUCGAACUCCCACUUGAGCUCGGUCAUAUCAUCUGGAGCGGUAUCAUCGGUCCCUGCAUCUGGUUUUGGAAGUAAACUGUGAGUCACGGGGACUCAGCAAUCUCACACCCUCGCGAUCAAGACUAUUUAAGCUUAUAGGAAGGGUAAAGGUAUGAUGUGGAGCUACAGCAAGCGACUAGCAUAUUUGGUGGCUAAACAUAUGCGCAAAAGAGAGCGAGAAGAGAAGGCAAAGGCACGAGCGACAAACUAUGAUCAAGAAGUGAUCCUAGAACAACCUACGUCAAACAUUACUCCAACACCGUGUUCACUUCCCGGACUCCACCGAGAAGAGACCAUCACGGUUACACACGCGGUUGGUGCAUUUUAAUUAAGUUAAGUUUCAGGUUUUCUACAACCGGACAUUAACAAAUUCCCAUCUGCCCAUAACCGCAGGCACGACUUUCGAAAGUUCAAAUCCCUGCAGGGGAGUCCCAACUUAGCCCAUCACAAGCUCUCACGGUCAAUAAAGGAUAUUCCUUCUUCCAAGACAUUCCGAUCAGACUCGGCAUCCCGGUUACAAGACAUCCUCGACAAUGGUAAAACAAGUCCAGCAACACCGCCCGAAUGUGCCGACAAAUCCCGAUAGGAGCUGCACAUAUCUAGUUCUCAGGGCACACUCAGAUGAACACUACGUACAACUAAAACCAACCCUCAAGUUUUCCCGAGGUGGCGCUGCAAGUGGCUCUGUUUUGGACCAACACUCAGAGGAGCACUGGCCCGGGGGGUUUAAUAAAGAUGACCCUUGGGCUCCGGAAACCCAAGGGAAAAAGAAGCUAGGUGGCAAAUGGUAAAACCAAGGUUGGGCAUUGUUGGAGGAGUUUUAUUCAAGGCGAACUGUCAAGGGGUUCCCAUUAUAACCCAACCGUGUAAGGAACACAAAAUCCAGGAACAUAACACCGAUAUGACGGAAACUAGGGCAGCAAGAGUGGAACAAAACACUAGGCAUAAGGCCAAGCCUUCCACCCUUUACCAAGUAUAUAGAUGCAUUAAGAUGAACAAGAUAAUAUGGUGAUAUCCCAACAAUAAACAAGUUCCAACAAGGAACGAUCUCCAAUCUUCACCUGCAACUAGCAACGCUAUAAGAGGGGCUGAGCAAAGCGGUAACAUAGCCAAACAACGGUUUGCUAGGACAUGGUGGGUUAAAGGUUUGACAUGGCAAUAUGGGAGGCAUGAUAAGCAAGUGAUAGGUAUCGUAGCAUAGGCAUAGCAAAAGAGCGAGCAUCUAGCAAGCAAAGAUAGAAGUGAUUUCGAGGGUAUGGUCAUCUUGCCUGCAAAGUUCUCAGAGUUGUCUUGAUCCUCGUAAGCGUACUCAACGGGCUCCUCGUUCACGUACUUGUCUCCCAGCUCUACCCAAGCAAGGACAACAAGCAAAAGGAACACAAUCAACCACGUGCAAUGCUCAAACAACAUGAUGCAAACAUGGUAUGAUAUGCGGGAUGCGAUAUGUGAUGCAUAGGCAUGAUUUGGAAAUGAAUGAUUGGACCUGGCCUCAACUUGGAAAACCAAGAGUGCCACUAUAAAGGUGAGUUGAUUUCGGUUGAAAACGAUAUAAAGAUCACCGGAAUCGGAUGCAUGGUUUGGAAAUGGCAAGCAAAACAAAUAUAGCACCGGUCUGUGAUAAACAGCAAGUAGCCAUCUAAAUGCAUCAAGAACAAUAUGCUACAGCACUCCAACAUGGCAACAAAAUACAUGGCAGGGAUCCACUCAUGAUGCUUGACAAAAGAUGAACACUGAGCUACGGCUAAUUCACUCAUUAACAGGUUCAAACAAACAUGGCAAAAGUGCAAAAGAUUACUGGUUUCAGACUUAGUGAAAUAACAAGUCAGGAAUUUAUCAACAGGAAGCAAUGUUUAGAGCACGAAAACUACAUGCUACAGGAACAUAUCAUGGCAAAUCAAGGCAUGGUAUGAAGCUACUCUAAGCAUAUAACAAAAGUCCCUUAGUGACCAUGAGACAAAAGGGAUCAUAAAAUACAAUUGCAAGCAUGUGAACAUAGCAAAAACAGAAACAGAUUCAGACUUAGUGAAAAACUGGAGCAUGGCAAAACAGAUAACGAGUAGGCAUGUCUACGAGCUCGAUGCACUCACUACGAGGCAUUGCAUGACAAACUAAGCAUACACCCAACAAAUAAACAUGGCAUAGAAGCUAGACAUGGCAAGAACAACAACAUAAAAUGUACGGAUCAACAACAACAACCUCGGCAAAAUCGCUAAACAUGUUAACAAUCUGCUAGGAACAUUUUAUAGCAAAAGUAGAGCUCGAUUGACUCAAGCUAGGGUGCUCCAUAAUUGCAAACAAAGACAUGGAUGGAUAGAGCACAACAUUAUCUGCAAAACAUCCUUACUGAUCAUGCUCAAAAGAGGCACGGAUCACUAGGAAGCAACAUGAACAUAUGGCAUAAAAAUAAUGACAGGGCAAGGACUUAGUGAAAUUCUAAGUCCCUGAAAUUAGCAUCAAUGAGUAAGCUACUUUGCAUGCUUGUGCUAGUCACCACAAAGAUCACAAAAAAACAUGGCAUACACCCCUGUAAAGAUGGCAUGACAUUCUUCAAAACACAUGUAGAGCUCAGGAUCAUAGCAUGCACACAUUAAUCAUGGUAAAAAUGACAAAAGUGCAUUUGCUGAAACAGAUCUGAAACUAUCAUCACAUAGCCCUCUUCCAACAGCAUUUCGGGCAUCAAGAUGAGCUCAAAUGAAAAUGAUGCAAUGAGAUGAAAUGAUGUACUCGUUGAGACGAACAUUUUGAUAUGCUACACGCGCGAAUCGAAGCUACGAUGAUGAAGUUAUGAUGCGUCAAAGUAUGCCAAAAAGUUAGGGUUAGGAGGGAAAAAGUCAACCGAGAGGGGAUGGAUCUGGAUCUGGAUCUCGCGGGUCACUAUAGCUGCGCGGAUUUCGAAGAUGGCCGGCCGAAGUCGACGAACUCGCCGGCGCGAGGGGGCUCGCCGGAGUAGGGCGCGGCACUUGGCGCCGGCGGACGAGGGCGGCGGGCUCCGGGCGGUGGAGGACGACGUCGGCGGCGAGGCGGCGGACUCCGGGCGGUGGAGGAGAAGCCCACCGGAGCGGGGCGGCGGCAGGCCGACGAAGGGCGGCGAAGGGAUGGCGGUGGUGGUCCGGCGCCGGCGCUAGGAGAGGAGAAGCAGUGCGGGGCGCUGCGGGCGGCGGCCGGGUGAUGGGCUCGCGGGGCCCCGACUUGGGCCUCCCGGGCCGGCGAUGUGGGGCGGUGCUGGCGACGAAUCGUGUCGCGACACGUGGCGGCGGUGGGUCAGGUCGGACGUGUCUGGCCUGGCUGGACUUCGUCCGGCAGUGCGAGGAGGGGGGAGACUAGGGUUUGGGGUGUUUUGACCCGGAAUUUCGGGAGGAGGCCUAUUUAUAGAGGUAGGAGGAGUUAGGAAGCUCCAAAUGAGGUGCGGUUUGCGGCCACGCGAUCGUGAUCGAAAGAUAUAGAUGAUAGAAGGGGUUUGAGUGGGUUUUGGGCCACUUUGGAAGGGUGUUGGGCUGCAACACACACGAGGCCUUCUCGGUCCCUCAGUUAACCGUUGGAGUAUCAAACGAAGUCCAAAUGGCACGAAACUUGACAGGUGGUCUACCGGUAGUAAACCAAGGCCGCAUGACAAGUCUCGGUCCAAUCCGAACACGUUUAACACCCACACACAAAAAGAGGUAGAAAGGACCACCGGAGGACAUAGGAGCGCCGGAAUGCAAAAUGGACAACGAGGAAAAUGCUUGAAUGCAUGAGACGAACACGUAUGCAAAUGCAAUGCACAUGAUGACAUGAUAUGAAAUGCAUGACAAAGACAAAACACACAGAGACAAAAACCCGACAACGAGGAAAUAGAAUAACUUAGUACCGGAAACGGCAAGAGUUUGAGUACAAAUAAGGUAGGUUACAUCCGGGGUGUUACAUUAAUACUCCGGCUUAACCUUGAGAAACUUUGCUAAACUGCGUACAUUAGCCCCCAAAUGCCAAGUGUUGUUACUUUGUAAGGUACUUGGGACAUAACGUAUGUCUUUAGAGUCAUAAAAAUUUGAUUUGGCAUACAUUAGCCCCCAAGUGUCAAGUGGUUUUUUGUAAAGUACUUGAGACUUCAAUCUUGAUUUUUGAACUUGAAGCAAAAUCUUGACUCAUCUGAAUGUUUUGCAGAAUGCCUUAUCUGAAUUGAACUCGCAAUUGACUGAUGCGAAGACCCGGCUAGCGAGUUAGGAGGCAGAAAUCAAAUCUGCUAACUCCAAACUGCAAAUAAGUCUCUCUGAGACGGAAAAUUUAAAGACCAGCUUCACUGCCAAAAAGAAAACUUGGGAAGAGGAAAAAACGCUUCUGACCCAACGUGCUGAGAAGGCCGAAAUAGCCCUUGAAGAGAUUUCAACAGAGCUGAACGGUUUAAAGGGCCGGGUGUCUCAAAUGGUGGCUACCAUCUUUGGUAAGCCAUCCUACUUUAAUUUUGUGUGCUUUUUGAUGAUCCGGAGUAUAAGCCGCCAGCUGACUUUGUGUAUAAAAUAUGUGCAGGCCCUCGAAGCAAAAAUCUAAGCCAAGACCCUUUGAUUAAACUGAAGGCAGUGUAUACUUUGGUAGAACAAUUGUAUAUUGGUGCACAGCGGGCUCUUGCCGCCAUCUCUCCUGCCAAUCAAGGACCCAACCGGCUCAGCGACGUCCUGAAGAAACUGUCAAUCCUGCCAGCCAGGUUUCAAGAAGUGAAACACUCCUGCGCGUGAGCCGGAGCUUUGACUGCCCUGAGCCGCUCCAAGGCUUGGGCGCCAGACCUAGACCCGGCGGACGUGUCCAGAGGCUAUCCCACCAUGAAGGAAGAUGGUUCUCCUUUUGAGCAGGAUGACUUCAUGGCCUGCGUGCGCAGAGUCCGACCUCAGGCAACUACCCUUGGAGCCGGUGUUAGUGUUAUGCCUCUCUCUUUAUAUCGUAGACUUGAUUUGAAUAAGUUGACACCUACUGAAAUAUCUUUGAAAAUGGUUGAUAAAUCUACUGCUAUACCUGUCGGUAUUUUUGAGGAUGUGCCCGUUGUAGUUGCAAACGUUACUAUUUUAAUGGACUUUGUUAUUCUUGAUAUUCCCGAGGACGAUAGUAUGUCUAUUAUUCUUGGAAGAUCCUUUUUGAAUACUGCAGGGGCUGUUAUUGAUUGCACUAAAGGCAAUGUCACCUUUCAUGUUAAUGGUAAUGAGCAUACGGUACACUUUCCGAGGAAACAACCUCAAGUCCACAGUAUCAAUGCUAUUGGAAAAUUUUCAUCGAUUAUAUUUGGAGGUUUUGAAUUUCCUCUUCCUACUAUCAAGAAGAAAUAUGAUAUUCUUAUUAUCGGGGAUGUGCAUAUCCCCGUUGAGGUAACAUAGUGUUAUUCGAAAUUUCUCCGGUUCCAUGUUAUUCGGAAUGAGUUCAUUAACAAGACUUGAUCAACCUUAUUAGUGGAAUCCUUUUGAUGAUCAUGAGAAUGAUGAAACUAGAAGACACAACCUUCUGUACCCUACUUUUACUUUCUGUUAUUUAUAUUAAAUAAAAUAAAAAUAAAUAUUUUUCUGUCUGUUAUCUAAUUAUUCGUGCAAUAUAAAAAUACCCCAAAAAUAAAACUUCUCCAAAUGCCUUGAAAUUUAAAUAUGAUUUUUUCUACAAUAUUUGAGAAUAUUUGGCACUGAGAACACAGCAGGGGGGGUCAACCACCUGCCCACGAGGGUGGAGGGCGCGCCCUACCCCCCUGGGCGCGCCCCCUGCCUCGUGGGCCCACGGUGGCCCUUCUCCACUUAUCCUUUCACCCACACACUCAUUCUUCCUCCCCAAACAAGAAUAUCUAGCUCAAACCCGAGUCCAAACUCGUUUUGCUGCCAUUUUCGAUCUCCUUGCUCAAAGCACCUCUCAUAAAACUGCUUGGGGAGAUUGUUCCUUGGUAGGUGACUCCUCCAUUGGUCCAAUUAGUUUUUGUUCUAAUGCUUUAUUCAUUGCAAAUUUUUGCUGCUUAUGUGACCCUGUUCUUGAGCUUGCAUGUCAAAUUUAUAUGGUCAAAAGUAGUUUUGAUGCAUGAUAUAGGCCCUAGGAAAAGAAGAUAUAUCACCUCUUCAUCCGAGAUCGACACGACACCAUCGCUGGUCAGCAGAUUUAUGGUUUACACCUUUGUACUCGUAUUUGUAUGAAUCUUGCUUGUAGUUGAAUGAAAUAUGAAUGUUUUAAAAAAAAAUGGAAGCGGCAUGGCUAGUUUGACCUAUACACCUUGGGUGAUCCUCCACAAAUUAUCCUAGCUAAACUUGUUAGUGAUGUAACAAUUAUUUGAUUUUAAUAAAGUGUGCCAUAAGUUAAAAAACUUGAAUGAGAACAACCCUCCCCUUAUAAGAGAGUAGUUUACCUCCUCACCCAACAUUUCUUUUGAGAAUUUUAUCUAUGAGAGGUUGUAUAUCCUCUCUUCUUAAUUAUCAUGAUGGACAGGAAUCAAAUUGUUCUCGUGCAUGCCUUGUUUCUUUUGUGACUACAAACUUAUGCUCAUAAAACUCUUAUUUUCCAUCACACGAAAUAAAAAUAGUAUAUAUAUAUAUAUAGACACACACACACACAUAACGUAUCAAUGGGACGCAGCAUAAAUGAUAAACCCAAAGCCCCACGCGCGUAGAGCGACGGUUCCCAGAGGCGAAAAACAGGCGACGCGAGAGGGGUGGUUCCGGCAAGCGGUCGCCGACGGUCUCCAACGCCUCCGGUGGCCUCUUGGCGUCGGGAGGUGGGGGAAACCGUCAUCGACUGCGCGGCCGUCGUAGAUAGGGUUGUUGGGGUAGUUUCUCCAAGCAUUGGUGCUCGAGCGAGGACGACUCCGAUGAGGUGGAAUAAAAUCCUCCAGCCUACUCUCCGUCGCGUUGGUGCUUGCUCUGGCGACGCCAAGGGGCUAGGGAGGCGGGGUUCCUCUGGGCUGACGGUGCCGGUUGCGCGCUGGCGGUGCAUAGGAGUCUGCGGUAUCUGGAUUGGUGACUCCAGAUCCGCUUGUUGCAGGCGAUCAGUGACUGUGGUGAUGUGGUGGGCAUGGUGGCUGGUGAUGCUGCUCCUCGUCGGCGAAGGUCGAUGGCUGUGGCGGAUCCAAGGUGAGGGGAGCAUGGGGAAUGUCCCUGGCCAAUGUGUCGGAACCCAACAUUGGUUCCCAUCCACUGGGACAGGACCUAUAUGCGGCUCACAAAGCCUUUGUGGCGAUGGUGCUCCUGCCCUGGCUUCUUGGUCGGCGACUCUCCUUUCCUCUGGCGACAGCGGUUCGUUGAAGGUUGAGGAUGAACAGGGACCCAGGGACUUUUAUGUGAUUUUGGUGUUUGUUUGGGUGCUCUUUGUGAUAUGGUGGGACAGUUGUACUCAUUGUAUCUUUUCUUUGCGUAGUAAUACGUGUCUCACUAAUAACAUAAUGAUAGGAUAAUCUUAUGCAAAAAACCAGUCUGGCCCUCUCCACUAAGGAAAAGAAGAUAUAUCACCUCUUCAUCCGAGAUCGACACGACUCCAUCGCUGGCCAGCAGAUUUAUGGUUUACACCUUUGUACUCGUAUUUGUACGAAUCUUGCUUGUAGUUGAAUGAAAUACGAAUGUUUUUUUUUUAAAAAAUUGGACGCGGCAUGGCUAGUUUGACCUAUACACCUACAAAGAUACGGGUGGGCUAGAUGUCAAUCGGGUCCCGUUUAAUCUCGUUUAAAGUCCACUUAUAAUAUGAUAGUUCAAAAAAGUUUUUUGUUUGUUUGAGGGAAAUGAACCAUCAAGCUAGCAAAAGCUAACUAAAUAAGAUUGCGGCCGUUAUUUAUUUGCCACUUACAUCCUCCAUGACAUGCUAAUUCGACGCGUAAAAUCCAGCUUUGAAUCAACCAGCAAUCUUUAUCAGCGACGGCGUGUACAUGAACACGAGCGUCUUGGCGAUCACUCUAUUGCGCGCAGAAUUACGUCCGCAGUUCUUAAGCUGCCCUCUAACGUCGACCACUACGCGCGCCUUUCCGCUUCCGGUGCCGGCGAUGCAGCAGUGGUGCAUGGACCGGCCCGCGAGCAGUAGCAUCUCCCCUGUGCUCGCGCACAUCCCCAGCGGCACCACACGCGCCAGUAUGUACUCCGUGUCCAACCCGAGGACCUGCGUCCACGUCCCCGCCGCCGUGCGCAGCCCCACCGUGCCUAGCAGGCUCUUCCACGUCACGACGACGCACAGCGCGCCGCCCACGUUGCCCAGCGCCACGUCCUGGCACCUCCACCGGCACGGGGGGCCGUCGACGACGCUGUACUCGCCGCUCGUCACGUCGAAGGAGAGGAGGGUGGACGCUCCAGGCUGGGCCUGCGAAUCGGGGCCGUCCAGGAAGCGGUCGUCGAUGACCCAGUACACCGUGCUGCCGACGGACGCGGGGGGCGUGCCGUAGAUCGGGCACGGCGGGUCACGGGCGGCAGGGCGCCACGAGGGCGGGCCCUGCCCCAGCGCGAGGACCUCGACGCCGAUGCUGUACGCCCCGGCCUGGACGUCGUGGACGCGGUAGUAGUAGCGGACCGCCUUGAGCGCGCGUGCGGCGGCGUCCUAGCAGAAGCCGAGGCGGUCGAUGCCGGCGCCGGUGCAGCUGGGCGCGCCGCGCGGGAGCCGCACAGACUCGCCGGUGGCCGGGUUCCACGCGAGCAGCUCCGCGGCGCUGCAGACGACGAGGACGCCGUCGCAGUGCACGAUGGUGCGGUCGAAGCUCCGCGGGGAGCGGAGCUGGACCCGUGACACGGGCCCGCCGCACUCGCCGGACUCGCGGUAGCGGUAUAUCUUGAGGAAUGGGCCCGACCCGGGGCUGCACGGCGAGACCACGGGCAUCUCCGCCCGCCAGCGCUGCAGGUGCGCGCGGGCGAAGGCAGGGUCGCGGCCGACCGUGGCGCGCCAGGCUCUGCAUACGUGGCGAAACCGUAGGACAUCGUCGGUGGGCAGCCUCUCCAGAAUAUGGAGAAGGACGGCAUCGGGAAGUGACAGCGCCGCCGCUGUCUCGUCAGUGCAGAUCUUCCUCUUCUUCUUGGGUGGAUUAGCAUCCAUUGCUGUGACUACAAACUGCUCUCGGCAAUUUAGAUAGAAGAUGUAAAUGUAGGAUGCGACUACGUCACUGAGCGUGGUCACCCCCUCCCGUUUCUGGGAAGGCCGCUCUGUGCAAAACUACGGGAGUGCGAAAUAUUUCUAUAUGUUGAUUCGUGCCCGGUGAGGGUAUAUAUGAACGGAAGUAGAGAAGAGGGAGCGAGAAAGACUCGGAAUAGGACUACAAGAAAAUCUCUCUAUAUAAAUCUACGCCGUUGUAGGAAUUGGUGUAGAUGUCGACCCCAGAAAUUCGCACUCCCGUGAUCCGAGACACGCGCGUAAGUGGUUGCCGUCGCCUUGAUGCAUGCAGAAAAACUCGCAUGAGGACGUAGUAAGUUUUAAGUUUCUAGUUAUCUCACAAAAAAAGUUUUAAGUUUUAGUCUCUGAAAUUGUCGAUCACACGUUCAGAAACUUACAAGUUUGUCGGUUGCUCGUGCCAAGUUUCAGCAAUUGAAACUUAAAACAUAAAAAAAAA
RNAcentral lists this long non-coding RNA (44619 nucleotides) under Triticum aestivum (bread wheat). RNAcentral describes it as "long non-coding RNA (TAES_LNC010849)". The record is from RNAcentral. Lineage: Eukaryota; Viridiplantae; Streptophyta; Magnoliopsida; Poales; Poaceae.